This 468-nucleotide ribosomal RNA is filed under the name uncultured bacterium. RNAcentral describes it as "partial 16S ribosomal RNA". It matches the Rfam family "Bacterial small subunit ribosomal RNA", at positions 28 to 507 of the family's 1533-position model. The record is from RNAcentral.
GACGAACGCUGGCGGCGUGCUUAACACAUGCAAGUCGAACGGAAAGGCCCUGCGUUUGUGGGGUGCUCGAGUGGCGAACGGGUGAGUAACACGUGAGUAACCUGCCCCUGACUUUGGGAUAACUUCAGGAAACUGGGGCGAAUACCGGAUAGGAGCUCCUGCUGCAUGGUGGGGGUUGGAAAGUUUCGGCGGUUGGGGAUGGACUCGCGGCUUACCAGCUUGUUGGUGGGGUAGUGGCUUACCAAGGGUUUGACGGGUAGCCGGCCUGGGAGGGUGACCGGCCACAUUGGGACUGAGAUACGGCCCAGACUCCUACGGGCGGCAGCAGUGGAGAGUAUUGCACAAUGGGCGGAAGCCUGAUGCAGCAACGCCGCGUGCGGGAUGACGGCCUUCGGGUUGUAAACCGCUUUCGCCUGUGACGAAGCGUGAGUGACGGUAAUGGGUAAAGAAGCACCGGCUAACUACGUG